UGCAAGUCGAACGAAGUAGCAAUACUUAGUGGCAGACGGGUGAGUAACAUGUAGGUAUCUGCCCUUUGGCCUGGAAUAACACGAGGAAACUUGUGCUAAUACCGGAUAAGUCUUUACAGAGAAAGCUUUAUGCACCAUUGGAUGAGCCUGCACUUGAUUAGUUUGUUGGUGGGGUAAUGGCCUACCAAGACUGUGAUCAAUAGCUGAUUUGAGAGGAUGAUCAGCCACAUUGGGACUGAGACACGGCCCAAACUCCUACGGGAGGCAGCAGUGGGGAAUCUUGCACAAUGGAGGAAACUCUGAUGCAGCGAUGCCGCGUGAGUAAAGAAGGCCUUUGGGUUGUAAAGCUCUUUCGUCGGGGAAGAAAAUGACUGUACCCGAAUAAGAAGGUCCGGCUAACUUCGUGCCAGCAGCCGCGGUAAUACGAAGGGACCUAGCGUAGUUCGGAAUUACUGGGCUUAAAGAGUUCGUAGGUGGUUGAAAAAGUUAGUGGUGAAAUCCCAGAGCUUAACUCUGGAACUGCCAUUAAAACUUUUCAGCUAGAGUAUGAUAGAGGAAAGC
RNAcentral lists this ribosomal RNA (561 nucleotides) under uncultured marine bacterium. Its description in RNAcentral is "bacterial SSU rRNA". It matches the Rfam family "Bacterial small subunit ribosomal RNA", at positions 56 to 662 of the family's 1533-position model. The record is from RNAcentral.